Molecule: long non-coding RNA, 4868 nt
Filed under: Limulus polyphemus (Atlantic horseshoe crab)
Lineage: Eukaryota; Metazoa; Arthropoda; Merostomata; Xiphosura; Limulidae
Description: uncharacterized LOC111089853
Source: RNAcentral
UUUUCAGGACUUGAUAAAAUUGAGCAACUGCAAAAUCAUGAAAAUGAAGAAAUUUAUAAGUUGGCUUAUGAAAUUAUUGACCAAUACUUUUCUGAUGAUGCUGAUGAAGAUUCCACUGUGGCACCAGAGUCAUCGGAUCAAGGCUAUCAGUUUGAUCCUAUUGCUAGUAUCCCCACUGAUGGUUUUGAAUUUUAGCAGCUACUUAAAGACUUUUUCCAUGGCCUAGUAGAGUGAAGUGUGCCAGAUCCAGUAACAGUGCUCAUUGUGGGCUUGCUUCUGCUGUGACUAAAAUAUUUCUGAAACUUGAAGAUACAUUUUGACAACUGUGCAUUUUCUUGUCCCACAAAAUAGCUGAUGUGUUGAGUUUCUUUUACAUGGGGAAACAUCCAAAUUAUAACCACACAGUUACGUUUUUUCCAGACACCAAGUAAGUGUUUGAGCAAAGUCAACGAAAAUGGGCUUCUCAGAUACAUACAGAGCAUUGAAAAAAAAAAUUAUAUAUAUUUUUUUUUCAUUGGAAAUUUGCUUUCUUUAUACUCUAAAGGGAACUUUGUGUGACAUUUAAAUUACCGAAAUGUUAGUAACAGCAUUCACAAAUGUUUGUGCUAUACAAAAUGAAAUUUUUUCCAAGAGCUCGUAAGAAUUAGUGGUGUCUCAUUUAUUCUGUGGAGGAUUUUAAGAGGCAAUACAUUUUCAUUGUGACAACAUCGUUCAAACAUUAAAAUUCUACUACUAUAGAGCUUCACCUGACACAGAGUAUAGAAAAUGGGUAAAAAAAUGGCACUGGCUACUGAUACUACCCAAGUUAUUGAAUUGAAGAUUUUGACCUCCAGCUCCAAUCAUCACAAAAAUAAUUGUCCCAUUUUGUGAUAGAAAUGUUGGUGUUUUGAUUUAUCUGUAUCCGUGACAGUUGCUUGUAGUAUUUGGUUGUUGUUAUUCCGACCACUUUAACACCCGAGUGGUUUAUACACUUUCGAAGGACAACAGUUGCCUACGACUAAAAAGCUGAAUUAUAGAAAAAAGGGAAAUUGUUUCUUGUAACCACAAAAUAUUAAAGAAGAACAAUAUGUACCUCUGUAACGGGGGUGAUUUCCUCGUUCAGGAGGAGAUCUUGUGAAUGUUAUUUGAUCUCUCUAGUGAUAUGUAUCAAUGGAUUGAGAGCUCCCAAUCUUACAAGUAUAUUUGCUCACUUCUUGAAGAUUUUAGAAAUUUCUUUUUAUAAAUACCACAUAAGGUUUAGAGUUGUUUAUUUUCUUUGGUUGAUUCAAAGUACUUAAAAUUUCACAUUAAUUUAUAGUUUUUAAAGAAAUGUUGACGUUUUUCAUAUGACACUCUUAGCAUUUUUUUUUUUUGUUUGUUUGUUUUUCCAAAACCUAAAUGAUAUGCUUGAGGUUUAAUAUCUGGUAUUUUGUUUAAUAUCUAACUAGGCUGUGACAUAUUUCAUUAUAAGUUCAAGAAAACCUACAUAACUUUGAAAUCCUUUACACUAAUUCAUUUUGUAUAUUUUCUUGGGGUUUGAAAUAUUAAUCAAGGUCUGAAUCAGAAACACUGCACAGGACACAGCUCUGUGUAGGAGGGUGCGAAAAGAAAGGACAUAAAUUCCGAGAAAAUGCCACUUGUGGACAGAAUUUUCAACACCACUUAAUACCUUCUUCAGUAGCUUAAGUGACGUAUAUUGGCUUUAGUGUACGUACGCCCAACAGAUAUCAUGGUGGUAGUUAAUGCAGUAAUGUCUGACAUUCACUUGAAAGUUUAAUACUAAAAAUACUUGGGUAAUCUUACUGAUAUUUUACCUGUGCCAUGGUUUCUCUUGAGUGACUUCUUAUCAUUGGAUUGAGCUGAAAAAUAACUUAGACGGUAUAAUAUUAUGGUUAGAUAAGUAUAAGGAAUGCUAGUGACCAAAUCAAAUGAUGUUUUUUAGCUCAAUUUUUUAUCAGUAUCUAAAUUUUUGAAACAUAAUAGAUAAUUACUCCAUAGGAAAAUGUAUACAAUAUUUCCAAUAAAACUUGUAAUUUUUUUAAUAUAUUAACACAGUUAUUAAUUAGACAUACAACUUUAAGAAAGAAGUAUCUUCCCCCCCCCUCCCCCCCACCUCUCUUUAGAACAUCUUUCAUCUAAUGUACAUAUGCUUUGUGAAUAGGUAAAGUAAGCAUAUGAGAACUACGUAAAACUAGCAUAUCAAAAUACUUCAGUAUACUGGAUUGCGAAUGUGGUUUCAGUAAAUUUAUCCAAACAGUGUACCAAUUAUUUUGUGAAUAUAAAACGUUCUGAAUUACCAAUUGCUUAAUGGUAGCAUUGAUGAGAUAGGUAGGAUCCUGGAAAGUGUUUCUGAAAUGAUUUUUGUUGUCAUGUAUACUGUGUAGAGAUAUAUAAAUAUAUCUAAAAAAGAAAGAAAUGGAUUAAUUACUCUUAUCUAUAUAUAUAUAUAAUACUGUCUAGGUCAUUGUAGGUGGCAGUGCAUGCAACUUUUAUGUUUAUCACUGGGCUAUGACACAAACUAGCUGUAAGUAGAGUUUUUGCCCAGUUUUUUUUUUUUUUUUCUUAUUUUAUGUAUUGUCAUCAUUAUUUAAUUGAGACUUGAUUUACUGGAAUACAAUGUUUUGGAAAUUUUCUCCAUAACAAGAACCCUUUUACAAAGUUUCAUUUCUGUAUUUGAGAUUUUUUUCAACACAGUUUUGUCACUGGCUUUGUUGUAGCAAAGCCCAAAAAAAAAGGGAGUAUGUGAUCUUUAACUUUUGCCUUUAAACAUUAAUUGAUUAAUUUUGCACGUGUUUUUCAGAACAACUGGUUUUUCAUGUUGGAUACUGAUUAUAUUAGAAUGAGAUAUCCAGUUUUUCUGCUGUUCCAAUAAGCCAGUACGUGCUAUAAGAACGAGUCGCGAGCUUCACAGAUCAGUGGGCCUGUAGGUUUUAAUUUUCCUGCACAAUAUGCACUUUCACACUGAAAGUUUGAGCCACGAGAUCUGAAUCCAUAUUAAUUGUCCUGUAAUGCAAAGUUGUCGUUUUGCAAUGGGAGAUUUAGCGCAUUAAGUCUACUGUAAUGCAAAGUUUCUUGUUUCACAAUUUAGAUCAAGCCACAAAUUCUAAUUAAACAUUAAUUACUUUCAUGAUGGAGAUUUAGCCACAAUCAGUCUGUUUGGUAUUAAGGCUAGCAUAACAUAUUGUGGGCAACUUUUGGUGGCUGAGAUAGAUCAACAACUCUUCAAAGUAAUGAAUUAGGCCUAUCAUUUGUAAUGCCUGAACCUAAUACGAUUCCCUUGGGAUUGAAAGGUUUAAAUGUUUUGUUUUUUAUAUCUAUAAAAGGGUAGUUUUUAUUGUUUAUUGUAGUUUGUAGAUCCAUCAGAGAAAAACAAUCAUGAUACAUUACUUGUAUUUCUCUUGUUUUGCUCUUUAAAUAUUUUCAGAAUCUACAUUUUGGAAAACAAGAAAUCUUAAAUGGGGGGGGGGACAAAUUUUUUUUUCCUUUAUAUACUGUUAUUUUUUUUGAAGAUAGAUCUAAAAAUUACAUAUUUUUAUAAUAGUUUGUCUUUCUUCCUCAGUUAUAAUUAGAAGCCUGUGAAACUUAACCAUUACUCUGGCACUCCUUAAAAUUUUAAAUGAACGUUAUAUCUAAUGUUACACAGAUACUUAGAGACUGCUGUAUCUAUGGAAACACUGAACAAAUAUAUUGCACAUAUUGUCACUUAUAUUUCUACUACUUCAUCACAGUUAUAAGAUAUAAGAACAUGGUAAGUAGUAUGUUGCUAUAGCAACAGUUUUUGUCUUUUUUUUUCUUUUUUCAAAAUGAAUUCAUAGUCAGCCAUUCAUCACAAAUUUUGGAAGGAGCCUUUUUCAAAACCUUUUUUUUUCUCCAUGCAUUCUGUUGAUUAAGUAGUUACCACCCUAUGGUUCAGUAGUAAGACUAAAGGCUUAUAAUGCAAACAGUUUGUGGUUUGAUCCCUGCAGUGAGCACAGUGCUAAAAACAGUGUAGUAGCAUAAGAACAAUAAAAUCUGACACCUACUAAUGUACAUACCCUACUCUAUACCAAAAAUUAUAGUAAAAUUAAUGCUUACUAGCUACAAUAAUAGAUGGUAGGAAUACAUUCACUAUUGCUAUUAAGGUACUGAUCACAGAAGUAAUUACAAAAAUAUAGUAAAAUUAAUGCUUACUAGCUACAAUAAUAGAUGGUAGGAAUACAUUCACUAUUGCUAUUAAGGUACUGAUCACAGAAGAGGGAUAAUAUUUAAAAAUAUAUAUAUAUAUAUAAUCAACUUCUCUAGUGUUAAGAAACAGCAAACAAGCUUUCUUGUAUAAUAAACUUUCUGUUGCACUAUGACCCAGUGGUUCUAUUCACUUCCUGUUGGGAGACUUAACUGUCUGUGUUUUUACUAAGUAAACAGAUUGCAGUAAAAAAAAAGCGUUAUAUUUUUCAACCUUUGUUCAUCAGUAAAGAAAAAUAAUUUAACUUCAUGUUGAAGUUCCAGAGAAAUGAUAACUGGUGUAGUGUGAAGACUUUUGUAAAUUGUGACAAUAAGUUUUUUGAAAUUCUUUUGAUGCACCUUUGAAACAUGGUGGAACUGAAAUUUGGUCAAUUUUAGGCUAAAACUACACUCGAGGUAUUUAGUCUGUAUGUGUGUAGAAUGUUAUCUACUUAAAAAGAAGGUACUGGUCUGAUUAUCAGUAUCAGAUAGAAAUCAUUGGUGAAUACGUAAAUAAUUUACAUUGCUAAAAAGAAAACUAGGUGUGUUUUGAGACCUGAUUUGACCCUGCAUCAUUGCCGAGUUCGGCAUAUAAAGUAAAUGUAGCUACUUUUAAGAUUAGGUCAACUUAUUGUUGGUUUUAAAAUAUUUGCUGUAAUAAACUUGUGCUGAAGGUUUGAAUUUGGUAA